This 87-nucleotide transfer RNA is filed under the name Bdellovibrio bacteriovorus str. Tiberius. RNAcentral's name for it is "tRNA-Leu (CAG) (tRNA-Leu-CAG-1-1)". It matches the Rfam family "tRNA". Rfam says of the family: Transfer RNA (tRNA) molecules are approximately 80 nucleotides in length. Their secondary structure includes four short double-helical elements and three loops (D, anti-codon, and T loops). The record is from RNAcentral. RNAcentral also lists the same sequence under 1 other name. Lineage: Bacteria; Pseudomonadati; Bdellovibrionota; Bdellovibrionia; Bdellovibrionales; Pseudobdellovibrionaceae.
GCGCGGGUGGUGGAAUUGGUAGACACGCAGGUCUCAGAAGCCUGUGGCCGAAAGGCUGUGGGGGUUCAAGUCCCCCCUCGCGCACCA